Molecule: long non-coding RNA, 1047 nt
Filed under: Homo sapiens (human)
Lineage: Eukaryota; Metazoa; Chordata; Mammalia; Primates; Hominidae
Description: HSALNT0156124
Source: RNAcentral
GCGGAAGUUGCAGUGAGCCGAGAUUGCGCUACUGCAUUCCAGCCCGAGUGACAGAGCGAGACUCCAUCUUAACAACAACAACAAGACAAACGCACAAGAUUUGGGGACUCAGCCAGGCCGGGGUUUGGUUCUUGGUUCUGUCACUUGCUAGCUCAGUGGCUUUUGGCAAGUCAGUUUAUCUGCAGCUUCGUUGCUACCUCUACAUUAUGGAGAUGAAAGUGUCCACCUCCAAGUGUGGUUUUGAAGAUUCAAUGAGAUAAUGUGAAUAAAGUGUGUAGCGAAGUGUUUGGCACAAAGCUAAUAUUGAGUCAUUUAUUAUUACCACGGACAUUAAUAAUCAGAGGAAAAUAAGUUUUAAAGGUAAAACUUCUUUUGCGAGAAACCCUCAUGGACACAGGCAGCGGAGUGGCGAAGCGAUCCCUGAGGUCAGGUUCUGAGUUCAGAACCAGGGCAAAGCACAGAGCAAGCGGCACUCAAGUCUUCCCAGUGAAGAUGCUUUUGGUUGCAAGGAGCAGAAACUCUCUCACUGAGCUGGAGUCCUGAAUUCGUUAUGAUAUCAGGUGUCAGGGAAACCAGGCCAUGCAGCUGUGGUAAGUGUCCUAGGGUCACUCAUGGCCACCCUCUAUAGAAGCUCCCUGUGGGCUGUGAGUAAAAGUGAUGUCCAGAGAAAGGGCUGUGCGUUGAUGCCCCCAAAGGGCAUUCCCUGAAUUUUAUUUGGUUUCCUGACAUUUGCCACAGGACCACAGUUGGUGACAGAUUCCCAGGAUGCUGGCUAGGAUCGGACCCAGGCGGCACUUCUGGAUUCCUAGUUUUUGCUGGAGAGGGGUCGACUGCCAGAUUAACAGGCUGUCUGGCAAAUGGCGGCCUUCGGCAGCACUUAGGUCCGAAAACACAAAGGUUGGCCUAAGAAAACCAUAAUUAACUACACACACACACACACACACACACACACACACACACACACACACACUCACUAGAAAUAAAAGACUAGUGUCUCUUUUAAUUGUCAUUUUUAUAGCUCCCCACCGCAGCUGCCCCCCACCCUUC